This is a long non-coding RNA of Phyllostomus discolor (pale spear-nosed bat), 98 nucleotides long. RefSeq lists it as uncharacterized. The transcript is spliced from 3 exons. NCBI's taxonomy places the organism in Eukaryota, Metazoa, Chordata, Mammalia, Chiroptera, Phyllostomidae. The record is from RefSeq and is a predicted model, not a curated record.
UGUUUAUCACUGUCUUCAAUGCUACAAUACCACCCGUUCAAUGAAAGCAUCUGGCACAUAAACAGCAAACCCAAGUGAACAGACAAGCGAAUAUAUAC